Long non-coding RNA from Carassius auratus (goldfish), 578 nucleotides. RefSeq lists it as uncharacterized. The record is from RefSeq and is a predicted model, not a curated record. The transcript has 4 exons. NCBI's taxonomy places the organism in Eukaryota, Metazoa, Chordata, Actinopteri, Cypriniformes, Cyprinidae.
UCCCUGAUCAGUGCCCUAACUGAAAAAAGGAAAAAUGAAAGUGUUGUCAAGGAGAAAAUGUCUCUCACAUUUGCUUACAGACGACAGGAGGUAGUGAACCAGGAGCUCAGUGUCAGGAAUUUCAGGGCGAGGUGGCCUGCGCUUUUCAGACAUUACGAGAUCAAUGCAGAGUUACAUAGGCUUAUGGAUGUUCCACUGGAAGACAUGUUCUUUGCACAGUUGGAUGUAUACAUGAGUCAACUAAUCAGAGUAAUCCGUUCCAAAGGAGGAGCAACCCCUGAGAAGACUGCUGCAAUUUUUCACAUAUUGCAUCAGACUGAAAACAUUCACAUGAAAAGAGAGUGUGUCCUGAAGGCCCUCAUCGUUUUCCUGGGGGGAAAUCCUUAAGGAGUAUCUUGAGAACCAGCAGAUGAUUGUGAGGGUGAGCUGGAGCAGCUCACCAUGGCGGUGUAUGUUAUUCGGAAGGAGGAGGGAGAACAUCACGAACCACAGGCUGACAUAGGUGUCGUCAUCAAGGGUGUUAAAGUUCUUAAUGAACUGUCUUCGUCCACAUCAGCUUGUGCCUUGCUUCUCGGAAU